RNAcentral lists this ribosomal RNA (253 nucleotides) under uncultured bacterium. Its description in RNAcentral is "partial 16S ribosomal RNA". It matches the Rfam family "Bacterial small subunit ribosomal RNA", at positions 524 to 776 of the family's 1533-position model. The record is from RNAcentral.
UACAGAGGUCUCGAGCGUUGUUCGGAUUCAUUGGGCGUAAAGGGUGCGUAGGUGGCGCUGUAAGUCGGGUGUGAAAUCCUGGGGCUUAACCCCGGAACUGCGUUCGAUACUGCAGUGCUUGAGGACUGGAGAGGAGACUGGAAUUCAUGGUGUAGCAGUGAAAUGCGCAGAGAUCAUGAGGAAGACCAGUGGCGAAGGCGGGUCUCUGGACAGUUCCUGACACUGAGGCACGAAGGCCAGGGGAGCAAACGGG